This 5789-nucleotide long non-coding RNA is filed under the name Homo sapiens (human). RNAcentral describes it as "HSALNT0395420". The record is from RNAcentral. Lineage: Eukaryota; Metazoa; Chordata; Mammalia; Primates; Hominidae.
CAGCUCUCUCUGCUGAUAAUUUCCAUCUUCUUAUUCAGCUUUUCCACAGACACAAAGGGUUUUUUCCCUUCCUAGCAUAUUUUGAAUUGCAGGUAGCAUGUGACCCUCACGGCGUGUGGGAGACCUGAAAGAGGAAACUUACUUUGCCUAACGUCAGAUGUCCCCGCAACAGGAUGUGGUGAGCUGUUAUACCACAAUUUAAUUUAAUAAGGAGGGCUUUUUUUUCCCUUAUAUUAGAUUUUUCUCUAAAAUACUCCUCAGGUGGAAACUAUUGUUUUUUCCUAAAACUCGACUGUGGCGUUUUGAAUCCUGGCUGCAGGCUGAGAGCCUCCCUCGAGGCCACAUCCACACACCCACACUCAUACCCACCUCUCUAUACACAUCUGGAAUUGAGUGAAGGAGGAAAUCAGUACAUUUUUAAAUAUAAAAACUACCAAGUACAAGGGCAGGCAUGGCUUUCACUGCCUCACCUGUGAAUCUUAUCUGUGCCCUUGCUGGGGCCACGCAAGCUCUCACUAGCUGUGCGUAAACAAGCCGUAGGCGAGACGCCUUUCUCAGUCAAGUAUUCGUACCUUCACAUAACCAGUUUCUUCUUUUUGAUCAUCAUUUUGAAAGAAAGUUGACAUUUAAACUUCACCCUGUAGUGAGCUACCCAAAGUUCACCUCUUAAGUUUCACGCAGGAGUUUUGUUUCUCUAUGCUGGGAAUGAUGAGGGCCAGAACGGAGCUGCCAGGGCCUGAACGCUGUUUGAUAUAUUUUGCCCCCUUGCUGCCUGGCUUGGAAGCAACAUUUUUCUGCAUUUCUGAAUGCCCGGUUUCUGAAAGCAAUUAAGGAUCUUACAUUUUAAGGAAUGAACAAACUACCAUUUCCCCAGCAGUUAUGCAGCCCUGCCUGGCCCUUUGUGCACCUGCUUGCUCCUUGCAACAGCCCCGGGAGCGGCAAAGGCAGUACUUACUAGGAAAGUCAUGGAAAGCUGGAUGGGCCUACUGGCUGGUGCCUGGGGGACGACUCAGACCCUGGGACAGGAGGGUUCCCACCCUGCCCAGCCAGCUCCUGGCCCCAGGAGUCCGUCCUCUCUCCUCCAAAUCUGGCCCCCGUCCCUUCCCUCUCUGGUCCUCCCUGUUUCACCUGCAGGGUGCUCAGUGCCCGGAACUUGGCGUAUCUGAGGUGGCCAGAGGCGCCAGCGGAGCAGGAUGUCGGAGCUGCCACUCGCCUUCCACUGUGCUGUGAGAGCCACCGGGACACGUCAGCAUCUCCCCUGUUCUGAAAUCAACACCGAGACACACCGAGUCCCUCCGGAGGCAUCUGCAGAGGCAGCAACGCCACGCGAGGGCUGCCGACUCUCCAGCUCCAACAUUUCGUCCGGACCUCCCGGCAGCGCAGCGGGGGAUCCCCUCCCGUGAGGGGCCCGGAGGGGCUUCGAGAAGGCUGUCGCCUGAUGGGCUCCGUCAAGUUUCCCCCUGCAGACCCUCAUUCUACCAGUUUUGAUUCCAUUUUAAAUCUGACUUCCAAGUGGCACCCCUGCCGACGGUCAAAACGCCCCCUCUCCUGGUGUGUGCCCUCCAUCCCCGCUUCCUGGGGGCAGCCGGUUUCUUGCUGUCUGGACAACAGAGCUCUGCCAAUGCCACUUAUCUCGCCCGUCCAGGACUUUAUCACCAACUGUCCUACUUCCGACUCCAGCAAAGGAGCGACAGCGAGCACGUCUGUGCUUGGCUGUGACUAACAGGGCCUCUGAAUAAAGUGAAAAUAAUCCCACUUUAAGCUGCAAGAGGAAAGACCCACAGAAGGAAAGUCCUUCACGGACGGAGACCCAGGAUCCUGAAAUGCAGUGCGUCCCUUCAACGUUCUGAGAAUAAAAAUUUAAACAUGCAAGCCCCGGGAGGAAAAGCAAUUCCUAAAACAUGGCAGAAACAACAUAAAAAAAAUCUUGCUGUUGUUUUAAAAACUGACCUAAGACCAGGCAUGGUGGCUCACACCUGUAAUCCCAGCACUUUGGGAAGCCAAGGCGGGAGGAUCACUUGAGGCCAAAAGUUCAAGACCAGCCUGGGCAAUGUAGUGAGACCACCCCCCAUCUCUACAAACAAAUGUAAAAAUUAGCCAGACAUGGUGGUGUGCACCUGUGGUCCCAGCUACUUGGGAGGCUGAGGUGGGAGGAUGGCUUGAGCCCAGGAGGUUGAGGCUGCAGUGAGCUGAGAUUGUACCACUGCAUUCCAGCCUGGGUGACAGAGCAAGACCCUGUCUCAGGAAAAAAAAUAAAAAAAUAAAAAAUAAAUAGCCUGAUCUCCUGUUUUCCAGGAAAGCCCGAGCCUUGUAAGGGUUUUUCAGAUGGUAGUGAAACAACUUGGAAGUCAGCAAUUCCUAAGGAUUUUCCAAAUCUUCUCAGACUAAAAUUCUCCCACUUUCCUGCUGCCUUGUUCAAACCAUGGUUCGGAGAUCUGUGAGCAGCCUGCCAGCCGCCGGAGGCUCUGAAGCCUUUCUGAGGCGAGGUCUUUGCACCUGAACGCUCUGGUAGAACAAGGUUUAGCAAAAGGGAGCCUGGAAGGGCCCAUCCUCACCUUCUGCCCAGUCCUGCAGGGCUCAGGACACAUCCUGGGGGCUAAUCUGUGGGAAGAGGUUUGACUGAGACCCCGUUCUGCUCUGUGAAUGGGCGGACUCUUCAGCAUCUCACACGGAGAAACAACUUCCUCCUGGAUCGGAGCCCAAGUCAGGGAUAAGGUGCCUCCUGCCUGCACCGUGGGCACUGGCCGCCUUGUUACAGAAUCAACGGCCGUCCACUGAGGGACACCGGGUGCCAGGGGUCCUAACACCCCUCCAGAGCACCCGGCACAGCUCUCCUUGGAGCUGGGUGCUACCCUUAGUCUCGUUUUGAAGACAGGACUGGGCGGUCAGGUCAGCCCAUCCUCACACUGCGGUGAGUAGCGGGGGCAGGAGCAGCCUUGCUGUGGGCCACGCCCUGGGCAAUGAGCGGUGGCUCCUUGGGGGAUCUCAGAUUUUUCCAAGUCUGUUUUCUAUAUGGCUGAACGAUGUGACAAAACACUUGUCAAGGACACCCUCUCAGGUGCUCUGAUCUGCAUCUUUCACGAGCGAGAGGGGGGGUGCCAGGCACUUCCUGGUGGACCUUCAGUUACCGCCCAUCAGAACACAAGCAGGCAGCGCGAAACAUGCUGGGCCCGGGGGCUCCAUCGCCCUUUACACUGCCACACUCAGCUUCCACAUGUUCUACUGUGGGCGUGUGCCCCUCCUUCAUGUUUCUGGGGUUCAUGGGGACAUUAGUGUUGUCCUUCCCUUUCUGUCUCAAAGAAUUGACUGUGCCUGUCAUUGGACGCAGCGGCUGCCAUGAAUGUCGACCGGGAAAGCGAUGGGAAAAGCUGUUCAGACACAGCUGAGCUGCCUCUACCUGGUCACCUGCACGCCAGGCCCAUGCAGUCUGCUCCAUCCCUGUCCCUGGCAGAGCCCAUCUGGGAGUGGUGGUGACUGUGCCAGCUGGAGACCCACUGAGCACCAGGGUGCAGCACAGACAACGACGCCCUCAGGCUGCGUGCAGUGAAGAGCCGGGAGAGGCAGCGCUAGAAUUGUUUUUAGGAACUGGAUUUGGGCUUAAAGAAUAAACAAUGUGGUUCAGCCACGCUAACCCAAAUACACUGUUUAAUCCUUGCAGUUAAAAAGUUUAAGUAGCACAGAUGAAGACUAUAACUUGCAUAAACGAUUUUUGUGUCAAUUUUUAAAAAGCAUAUUUGUUCAUAUAGGUACCACUAACUUAAUUGCACAAAACACAUUUAAAAGCAUCUUCCCUCUUUUUCAAUGGUUAUGUUAGUUCCAAUCAACAACCAAUUGUGCUAUGAUUAUUCAAGUCUAAGAGUAUUUAUCUAUGACCGCUAAACAAACCAGACAGUUUGGCAAGGACACAGGCCUCAGAAUUAUCAGACAUCAGAACGUCCUGCAGGACUGCUCCUUCUUUAGAGUUGUCAUUUUCCUUUACACUAAAGCAAUACAGGAAACAAAAAAGGCCGUCGUGAUGCCACCCACGGCCUACGGGGGCAUGUUCCUAUUGCCUCUUCCUGUCGCAGCGUCCCCAUCCGCCUCACUUUCCGUCCAGCAGGCUCCCUUCUAAGGCCCACCGUCCCACUGGACACAGCGUAAUUAAACCUGCAGCAGGAACGCAAUUGUCCCCAGCUUACUCCACCAUCCUCUGAGGGACAGAAAAGUGCAUAUUCUUCAGAGGACAAGUCAUCAAAAAUAACUUUUUAAAAAGAGCAAAACAAAACAGGAAAGACAUUCUCCUCCAUUCCUAUAACUAAGAGAUAAUUAUAAAAAGUAUUUGCUAACCUUCCCAGAAAAUACACCUUUAGCUAAAGUUAGUCUUGUAACCUAAGAGGGUAAUAAUUUGGGUAGGACACAGAUAGAACCAGAAAUAUCUCAGGCCAAAUCCUAUUCUUAAAUAACUAACUUCUAAGAUGUCUCCCAAUGACAUUUGCUGUACUCAGCUUUGACAAUAUCUAAUAAUUCUUGGAGUAAGAACGCCAUUUGAUGGUGGUUGAAAACCUUAAUGAACAUAUGGAUUUUCAUGGCUGUGGCGUUCAUUACAAAGGGGCAUGAUAGAUGUGUUUACUGACUGUUUUAUGGUUUCAUUGAAUUGCUGAAUACACAGCUUUCAAUUUUUCCAUCUGACAUACACAUUUAGACUUGUAUGGCUCUCAUUUAAGGUAUUACAGUAGAUAUGAGCUAAGUACAUAAAAAUAUGGUUAAAGCCACAAAUUAGAGAUCAGAAAAUAGGAAGCGAAGAGGAAAACGCUUUUGUUCCACUGUACGUAUAUCGUGUCUGAUGCAGAGGUGGCUUCGGUGUGUGCGCCAAGGUAACUGAAGAGGCCGCCUCUCAUGUGGGUUUUUUAAUUUUUUGAGAAGAAGCAACCUCUUAGAAAGUCUACCAUAAAUGUUUCCUCCUUCACAAGCAAAUAUCUGGAUUUUCCAUAACCUCCUACAUGAAGCCUCCACCACGGCCUCCUCGGUCCACCCUAAACUGUCCGACACUGCUGGGCGCCCGGCGCUCGGCUGAGAAACGGGGUAAGAACAAGGGCGGUUCUGCCACUCCACAGUCGAGGAGCCACCACAUUCUGAAAACGCAGGGUCGCAGCGUCUCUAGAACCCUUCUUUACGAUUCUGCAUUUUUCAAAGAUGCUUUGUAAAGCAGUGGAAAAUAACAGCUUCUCAAGUUUCAUUAAAAAGUAAGUUCUCAAGUCCAGGACCUAUUUCAGCCUUCACUUAUUUUUAUCUUUUUCAUCGCAAUAAGCCACCGCCACAGGGCCUGCUAUUUUUGGAAGGAGAGGACGGGACAACGGAGGGACGGCCUGACAAGUCACAGUUUUCAUAAAACAAGCCCCUCAUCUGGACGCAGCUGGUGGUGGGGAGCGGGACCGCCACUCGGGACGUCAGCCAUUAAGACAGAAUAAUUUUCCUACCUUAACUGCCUGCUUCCUUAUUUAGCCUGAAUGUUGCACAGAAUGCAAACGCCGUGUGGAAACUGCCAGGGUUCAGGGUACAGGACCACGUGCCUGGGAGAUUCCGACAGGCUGUCCUUCCGCCCCCCACCGAGACGGCAUGCGGGCGCGUGUUUCCACGGAUCUAGUCCGUCUUAUCUGCACCAAACUGCCAUUCCAGUCACUCACUGGGAUCAUUAAACCACCACUUGCAGUUUUCCAGGGCUUUCUUUGUUCUACUAGGAAGUAUAUGCCCCCAAAUUAUGAAAUUCCAUUUCAAACAGAAUUAACAGAAUUUAAAAAAUAAAAAUGUUA